RNAcentral lists this ribosomal RNA (491 nucleotides) under uncultured bacterium. RNAcentral describes it as "bacterial SSU rRNA". It matches the Rfam family "Bacterial small subunit ribosomal RNA", at positions 30 to 507 of the family's 1533-position model. The record is from RNAcentral.
AUUGAACGCUGGCGGCAUGCCUUACACAUGCAAGUCGAACGGCAGCAUGGAAGAGCUUGCUCUUCUGAUGGCGAGUGGCGAACGGGUGAGUAAAGCAUCGGAACGUACCGUGUAGUGGGGGAUAACGUAGCGAAAGUUACGCUAAUACCGCAUACGCACUGAGGUGGAAAGCAGGGGAUCGCAAGACCUUGCGCUAUACGAGCGGCCGAUGUCAGAUUAGCUAGUUGGUAGGGUAAAGGCCUACCAAGGCGACGAUCUGUAGCGGGUCUGAGAGGAUGAUCCGCCACACUGGGACUGAGACACGGCCCAGACUCCUACGGGAGGCAGCAGUGGGGAAUUUUGGACAAUGGGCGAAAGCCUGAUCCAGCCAUGCCGCGUGAGUGAAGAAGGCCUUCGGGUUGUAAAGCUCUUUUCGGCUGGGAAGAAAUCGCACAGGCUAAUACUCUGUGUGGAUGACGGUACCAGCACAAGAAGCACCGGCUAACUACGUG